This 867-nucleotide ribosomal RNA is filed under the name uncultured bacterium. RNAcentral describes it as "bacterial SSU rRNA". It matches the Rfam family "Bacterial small subunit ribosomal RNA", at positions 58 to 916 of the family's 1533-position model. The record is from RNAcentral.
CAAGUCGAGGGGCAACAGGGACAUGCUUUUAGUAUGUUUGCUGGCGACCGGCGCACGGGUGAGUAACGCGUACGCAACUUACCUCUGAGAGGGGAAUAGCCCUGGGAAACUGGGAUUAAUGUUCCGUGGUAUUAUGGGGAGGCAUCUUUUCAUAAUUAAAGCUUAGGUGCUCAGAGAUAGGCGUGCGUCCUAUUAGUUAGUUGGUGAGGUAACGGCUCACCAAGGCGAUGAUAGGUAGGGGGCGUGAGAGCGUGACCCCCCACACGGGUACUGAGGCACGGACCCGACUCCUACGGGAGGCAGCAGUAAGGAAUAUUGGACAAUGGAGGCAACUCUGAUCCAGCCAUCCCGCGUGCGGGAAGGAGGCCCUUUGGGUUGUAAACUGCUUUUAACAGGGGAGAAAUAUAGUCAUUUAUGAUUAGUUGACGGUACCUGAGGAAUAAGCACCGGCUAACUCCGUGCCAGCAGCCGCGGUAAUACGGAGGGUGCAAGCGUUAUCCGGAAUUACUGGGUUUAAAGGGUGCGUAGGCGGUUUGAUAAGUCAUAGGUGAAAGUCCACGGCUCAACUGUGGGAUUGCCUGUGAUACUGUUGGACUUGAAUUGGGAUGAGGUUGGCGGAAUGUGACAUGUAGCGGUGAAAUGCAUAGAUAUGUCAUAGAACAUCGAUUGCGAAGGCAGCUGACUGGACCUUGAUUGACGCUGAGGCACGAAAGCGUGGGUAGCGAACAGGAUUAGAUACCCUGGUAGUCCACGCCCUAAACGAUGCUCACUCGAUAUAUGCCUUUAGGGGUAUGUGUCCAAGCGAAAGCGUUAAGUGAGCCACCUGGGGAGUACGUUCGCAAGAAUGAAACUCAAAGGAAUUGACGG